Molecule: ribosomal RNA, 401 nt
Filed under: Ancylobacter novellus
Lineage: Bacteria; Pseudomonadati; Pseudomonadota; Alphaproteobacteria; Hyphomicrobiales; Xanthobacteraceae
Description: bacterial SSU rRNA
Rfam family: Bacterial small subunit ribosomal RNA
Source: RNAcentral
UGGCUCAGAACGAACGCUGGCGGCAGGCUUAACACAUGCAAGUCGAACGCACCGCAAGGUGAGUGGCAGACGGGUGAGUAACACGUGGGGAUCUGCCCAAUGGUACGGAAUAGCUCCGGGAAACUGGAAUUAAUACCGUAUGUGCCCGCAAGGGGAAAGAUUUAUCGCCAUUGGAUGAACCCGCGUCGGAUUAGCUAGUUGGUGUGGUAAAGGCGCACCAAGGCGACGAUCCGUAGCUGGUCUGAGAGGAUGAUCAGCCACACUGGGACUGAGACACGGCCCAGACUCCUACGGGAGGCAGCAGUGGGGAAUAUUGGACAAUGGGCGCAAGCCUGAUCCAGCCAUGCCGCGUGAGUGAUGAAGGCCUUAGGGUUGUAAAGCUCUUUCGCCGACGAAGAUAA